UACAAAUGUUUCAAGAAUUUCUGAGUCCUUCAUGGACAGGUGCAAAAAAAUAAAUCCUCUUUUGCAAUCCAGAACUCAUUGUUCAGUAUGAGUUUUGACACAUAUAAGAAGGAAUAUU
Heterocephalus glaber (naked mole-rat) is the source of this 118-nucleotide small nucleolar RNA. The record is from Ensembl. Lineage: Eukaryota; Metazoa; Chordata; Mammalia; Rodentia; Bathyergidae.